GAUGAACGCUGGCGGCGUGCCUAAUACAUGCAAGUCGAGCGAACAGAUGAGGAGCUUGCUCCUCUGACGUUAGCGGCGGACGGGUGAGUAACACGUGGAUAACCUACCUAUAAGACUGGGAUAACUUCGGGAAACCGGAGCUAAUACCGGAUAAUUUAUUGAACCGCAUGGUUCAAUAGUGGAAGACGGUUUUGCUGUCACUUAUAGAUGGAUCCGCGCCGCAUUAGCUAGUUGGUAAGUGAACGGCUUACCAAGGCAACGAUGCGUAGCCGACCUGAGAGGGUGAUCGGCCACACUGGAACUGAGACACGGUCCAGACUCCUACGGGAGGCAGCAGUAGGGAAUCUUCCGCAAUGGGCGAAAGCCUGACGGAGCAACGCCGCGUGAGUGAUGAAGGUCUUCGGAUCGUAAAACUCUGUUAUUAGGGAAGAACAAAUGUGUAAGUAACUAUGCACGUCUUGACGGUACCUAAUCAGAAAGCCACGGCUAACUACGUG
Molecule: ribosomal RNA, 497 nt
Filed under: uncultured bacterium
Lineage: Bacteria
Description: partial 16S ribosomal RNA
Rfam family: Bacterial small subunit ribosomal RNA
Source: RNAcentral